RNAcentral lists this ribosomal RNA (1440 nucleotides) under uncultured organism. Its description in RNAcentral is "SSU rRNA". It matches the Rfam family "Bacterial small subunit ribosomal RNA". The record is from RNAcentral.
AUUUACAGGCUUAACACAUGCAAGUCGAGGGGCAGCAUGGUCUUAGCUUGCUAAGGCCGAUGGCGACCGGCGCACGGGUGAGUAACGCGUAUCCAACCUGCCUUACACUCUUGGACAGCCUUCUGAAAGGGAGAUUAAUACAAGAUGUUAUCAUGAGUAAGCAUUUUCGCAUGAUUAAAGGUUUACCGGUGUAAGAUGGGGACGCGUUCCAUUAGAUAGUAGGCGGGGUAACGGCCCACCUAGUCUUCGAUGGAUAGGGGUUCUGAGAGGAAGGUCCCCCACAUUGGAACUGAGACACGGUCCAAACUCCUACGGGAGGCAGCAGUGAGGAAUAUUGGUCAAUGGACGAGAGUCUGAACCAGCCAAGUAGCGUGAAGGAUGAAGGUUCUAUGGAUUGUAAACUUCUUUUAUACGGGAAUAAACGAAUCCACGCGUGGAUUUUUGCAUGUACCGUAUGAAUAAGGAUCGGCUAACUCCGUGCCAGCAGCCGCGGUAAUACGGAGGAUCCGAGCGUUAUCCGGAUUUAUUGGGUUUAAAGGGAGCGUAGAUGGGUUGUUAAGUCAGUUGUGAAAGUUUGCGGCUCAACCGUAAAAUUGCAAUUGAUACUGGCAGUCUUGAGUACAGUUGAGGUAGGCGGAAUUCGUGGUGUAGCGGUGAAAUGCUUAGAUAUCACGAAGAACUCCGAUUGCGAAGGCAGCUUACUAACCUGUAACUGACAUUGAUGCUCGAAAGUGUGGGUAUCAAACAGGAUUAGAUACCCUGGUAGUCCACACGGUAAACGAUGAAUACUCGCUGUAGGCGAUAUACAGUCUGCGGCCAAGCGAAAGCAUUAAGUAUUCCACCUGGGGAGUACGCCGGCAACGGUGAAACUCAAAGGAAUUGACGGGGGCCCGCACAAGCGGAGGAACAUGUGGUUUAAUUCGAUGAUACGCGAGGAACCUUACCCGGGCUUAAAUUGCAACCGAAUAUGGCGGAAACGCUAUAGCUAGCAAUAGCGGUUGUGAAGGUGCUGCAUGGUUGUCGUCAGCUCGUGCCGUGAGGUGUCGGCUUAAGUGCCAUAACGAGCGCAACCCUUGCCGAUAGUUACUAACAGGUUAUGCUGAGGACUCUGUCGGGACUGCCAUCGUAAGAUGUGAGGAAGGUGGGGAUGACGUCAAAUCAGCACGGCCCUUACGUCCGGGGCUACACACGUGUUACAAUGGGGGGUACAGAGGGCUGCUACCACGCAAGUGGAUGCCAAUCCCAAAAACCUCUCUCAGUUCGGAUUGAAGUCUGCAACCCGACUUCAUGAAGCUGGAUUCGCUAGUAAUCGCGCAUCAGCCACGGCGCGGUGAAUACGUUCCCGGGCCUUGUACACACCGCCCGUCAAGCCAUGGGAGCCGGGGGUACCUGAAGUGCGUAACCGCAAGGAGCGCCCUAGGGUAAAACUGGUGACUGGGG